This 632-nucleotide long non-coding RNA is filed under the name Gallus gallus (chicken). RNAcentral's name for it is "long non-coding RNA NONGGAT002737". Lineage: Eukaryota; Metazoa; Chordata; Aves; Galliformes; Phasianidae. The record is from RNAcentral.
UGAUACCUCAAGAUACAAUAUAGUGAAACAACAAAUGAUGUACAGUAUUGCUAGGACAAAACAGCAACACAGCCAUGUCACCUGUAAAAGAAAGCAUUGUAAGGAGUUUAAGGAACAGUGAGGCACAACUCAACACCAUCUGAUGACUCGUGUUAGGGCUGAAUCCAUUUCUAACAGUCCUCUUAGAAGGAACCUCUGAAGCCUCCGUUCCUUUUACAGAAGUGUUCAGACCAGUUGUUGGCUUAACAUGAGUCUAAAUGAAGUACAAUCGAAUGUCCAAAAAGUUUAACAAUCUGUCAGCUUCUUCCACUCAUCUCCAUUAGCAAAGAAUGGAGAUGUCAGAAGAUUGGUCUGUGACUCUCGGGGUGCUGCUAUUGCCAUCUGACUGCUGAGAUGAGCGUGCAGAAAAAGCUCUGUACAAGCACUACCCAGAGGAAGCAUUGCGUGCACCAGAGAUGGGACACAGCACUAAGGAACUCCUGCCCUCCUGGUACCCCGUGCAUUAGGACUACACAGUUACAUGGAACCAGCCAUAGAACUCUACCAGUGCACAAGUCCCUCUUACUGGCAAAGGUACAGUACCAAUUUUUUUUAAUACACCAACUAACUUUUUCCCAAAAUAGAAGAUGUAU